UCGUGCUUUUCCGCCUUCAUCAUCGUUAAUCUCCGCCCCAACAUCGUCAAUCCCCGCCCCAACAUCGGCAAUCUCCGCCCCAACAUCGGCAAUCUCCGCCCCAACAUCGGCAAUCUCCGCCCCAACAUCGGCAAUCUCCGCCCUCCCUUCGGUUAUCUCCGCCCCAACUUCGUAUUUCUCCGCCCCAACUUCGGCAAUCUCCGCCCCAACUUCGUGCUUUUCCGCCUUCAUCAUCGGCAAUCCCCGCCCACCCUUCGUCAAUCUCCGCCCACCUUCGUCAAUCCCCGCCCCAACUUCGUCAAUCUCCGCCCCAACUUCGUGCUUUUCCGCCUUCAUCAUCGUUAAUCUCCGCCCCAACAUCGUCAAUCCCCGCCCCAACUUCGUCAAUCUCCGCCCUCCCUUCGGUUAUUUCCGCCUUCAUCAUCGUUAAUCUCCGCCCACCCUUCGUCAAUCUCCGCCCCAACUUCGUCAAUCUCCGCCCUACCUUCGGUUAUCUCCGCCCCAACAUCGUCAAUCUCCGCCCCAACAUCGUCAAUCUCCGCCCCAACUUCGUCAAUCUCCGCCCACCUUCGUCAAUCUCCGCCCCAACAUCGUCAAUCUCCGCCCCAACUUCGUCUAUCUCCGCCCCAACAUCGGCAAUCUCCGCCCCAACAUCGUCAAUCUCCGCCCCAACAUCGGCAAUCUCCGCCCUCGCUUCGUCAAUCUCCGCCCUCCCUUCGGCAAUCUCCGCCCCAACAUCGUCAAUCUCCGCCCCAACUUCGGCAAUCCCCGCCCCAACAUCGGCAAUCUCCGCCCUCCCUUCGGCAAUCUCCGCCCUCCCUUCGGCAAUCUCCGCCCCAACAUCGUCAAUCCCCGCCCCAACUUCGUGCUUUUCCGCCUUCAUCAUCGUUAAUCUCCGCCCACCUUCGUCAAUCCCCGCCCCAACUUCGUCAAUCCCCGCCCCAACUUCGUCUAUCUCCGCCCUCCCUUCGUCAAUCCCCGCCCCAACUUCGUCAAUCUCCGCCCACCUUCGUCAAUCUCCGCCCCAACUUCGUCUAUCUCCGCCCCAACAUCGGCAAUCCCCGCCCCAACUUCGGCAAUCUCCGCCCUCCCUUCGUCAAUCUCCGCCCACCUUCGUCAAUCUCCGCCCACCUUCGUGCUUUUCCGCCUCCGCUCGUCCCUUCCCUCCCCCCCUCAGGGCGCCGCCGGCCGCCAUUUUUGAAUUAGGCCGAUAUAAAGUGGCCCGUGGAGAACCCGGAGUGUCCGCCCCAGCAUCCGCCGCUUCCCCCCCACGGCCCUCACGGCUCGCCCCCCCACCUCAUGGAUGGAGAGGGGGGGGGGGAGUUGCGGCCUACACCACCCAAUACACCCCGGCGCCGCCGUUCCAAGCGUGUCAAGUCAUCGGCCGCGGCACGAAAGGCUC
Coturnix japonica (Japanese quail) is the source of this 1402-nucleotide long non-coding RNA. The record is from Ensembl. NCBI's taxonomy places the organism in Eukaryota, Metazoa, Chordata, Aves, Galliformes, Phasianidae.